AUACGUAGGGUGCAAGCGUUAAUCGGAAUUACUGGGCGUAAAGCGUGCGCAGGCGGUUUUGUAAGAAAGAGGUGAAAUCCCCGGGCGCAACCUGGGAACUGCAUUUGUGACUGCAAAGCUAGAGUACGGCAGAGGGGGAUGGAAUUCCGCGGGUAGCAGUGAAAUGCGUAGAUAUGCGGAGGAACACCGAUGGCGAAGGCAAUCCCCUGGGCCUGUACUGACGCUCAUGCACGAAAGCGUGGGGAGCAAACAGGAUUAGAUACCCUGGUAGUCCACGCCCUAAACGAUGUCAACUGGUUGUUGGGUCUUCAUUGACUCAGUAACGAAGCUAACGCGUGAAGUUGACCGCCUGGGGAGUACGGCCGCAAGGUUGAAACUCAAAUGAAUUGACGGGG
This 395-nucleotide ribosomal RNA is filed under the name uncultured bacterium. RNAcentral describes it as "partial 16S ribosomal RNA". It matches the Rfam family "Bacterial small subunit ribosomal RNA", at positions 523 to 918 of the family's 1533-position model. The record is from RNAcentral.